Molecule: ribosomal RNA, 442 nt
Filed under: uncultured bacterium
Lineage: Bacteria
Description: partial 16S ribosomal RNA
Rfam family: Bacterial small subunit ribosomal RNA
Source: RNAcentral
CCUACGGGAGGCUGCAGUGGGGAAUAUUGGACAAUGGGGGAAACCCUUAUCCAGCGACGCCGCGUGAGGGAAGAAGGUUUUCGGAUUGUAAACCUCUGUCAGUGGGGACGAUAAUGACGGUACCCACGGAGGAAGCCACGGCUAACUACGUGCCAGCAGCCGCGGUCAUACGUAGGAUCCGAGCAUUAUCCGGAGUGACUGGGUGUAAAGAGUUGCGUAGGUGGCAUAAUAAGUAGCUAGUGAAAUCUGGUGGCUCAACCAUUCAGACUAUUAGCUAAACUGUUAAGCUCGAGACCGUUAGGGGUAACUGGAAUUUCUAGUGUAGGAGUGAAAUCCGUAGAUAUUAGAAGGAACACCAAUAGCGUAGGCAGGUUACUGGGACGGUUCUGACACUAAGGCACGAAAGCGUAGGGAGCAAACGGGAUUAGAUACCCCUGUAGUC